This 464-nucleotide ribosomal RNA is filed under the name uncultured bacterium. RNAcentral's name for it is "bacterial SSU rRNA". It matches the Rfam family "Bacterial small subunit ribosomal RNA", at positions 32 to 507 of the family's 1533-position model. The record is from RNAcentral.
AACGCUGGCGGCGUGCUUAACACAUGCAAGUCGAACGAGAACGGAUUAUAGCUUGCUAUAAUUGUCAGCUAAGUGGCGCACGGGUGAGUAAUAUAUAGGUAACGUGCCCCAAAGAAGAGGAUAACAGAUGGAAACGCCUGCUAAGACUCUAUAUGCCUUUAUGACAUAAGUCAGCAAGGGAAAUAUUUAUAGCUUUGGGAUCGGCCUGUACAGUAUCAGUUAGUUGGUGAGGUAAUGGCUCACCAAGACAAUGACGCUUAACUGGUUUGAGAGGAUGAUCAGUCACACUGGAACUGAGACACGGUCCAGACUCCUACGGGAGGCAGCAGUGGGGAAUAUUGCACAAUGGACGAAAGUCUGAUGCAGCAACGCCGCGUGGAGGAUGACACAUUUCGGUGCGUAAACUCCUUUUAUAUAGGAAGAUAAUGACGGUACUAUAUGAAUAAGCACCGGCUAACUCCGUG